RNAcentral lists this ribosomal RNA (772 nucleotides) under uncultured Actinomycetes bacterium. RNAcentral describes it as "bacterial SSU rRNA". It matches the Rfam family "Bacterial small subunit ribosomal RNA", at positions 574 to 1345 of the family's 1533-position model. Lineage: Bacteria; Bacillati; Actinomycetota; Actinomycetes. The record is from RNAcentral.
GGUGGUUUGUCACGUCGUCUGUGAAAUCCCGGGGCUUAACUUCGGGCGUGCAGGCGAUACGGGCAUAACUUGAGUGCUGUAGGGGAGACUGGAAUUCCUGGUGUAGCGGUGAAAUGCGCAGAUAUCAGGAGGAACACCAAUGGCGAAGGCAGGUCUCUGGGCAGUAACUGACGCUGAGGAGCGAAAGCAUGGGUAGCGAACAGGAUUAGAUACCCUGGUAGUCCAUGCCGUAAACGGUGGGCGCUAGGUGUAGGGGACUUCCACGUCUUCUGUGCCGCAGCUAACGCAUUAAGCGCCCCGCCUGGGGAGUACGGCCGCAAGGCUAAAACUCAAAGGAAUUGACGGGGGCCCGCACAAGCGGCGGAGCAUGUGGAUUAAUUCGAUGCAACGCGAAGAACCUUACCUGGGCUUGACAUACACCGGACCGGGCUAGAGAUAGUCCUUCCCUUGUGGCUGGUGUACAGGUGGUGCAUGGUUGUCGUCAGCUCGUGUCGUGAGAUGAUGGGUUAAGUCCCGCAACGAGCGCAACCCUUGUCUUAUGUUGCCAUCACGUGAUGGUGGGCACUCAUGAGAGACUGCCGGGGUUAACUCGGAGGAAGGUGGGGAUGACGUCAAAUCAUCAUGCCCCUUAUGUCCAGGGCUUCACACAUGCUACAAUGGUCGGUACAGCGAGUUGCCACACCGUAAGGUGGAGCUAAUCUCUUAAAGCCGGCCUCAGUUCGGAUUGGGGUCUGCAACUCGACCCCAUGAAGUCGGAGUCGCUAGUAAUCGC